Molecule: long non-coding RNA, 379 nt
Organism: Osmerus eperlanus (European smelt)
Lineage: Eukaryota; Metazoa; Chordata; Actinopteri; Osmeriformes; Osmeridae
Exons: 3
Source: RefSeq, a predicted model, not a curated record
GGCAGCAGAGUUCAUCAUGUAUAAAAGCAGGUGCAACCAGGCCACAGUCAGACGUUUUCCUCAAUUCUCACUGGAUAGCAUCAACACCCCAAAGAGAAGCCAUGAAGCCAAUGAUCGUGCUGUACGUUGUGCUGAUGAUCAUUGCACUGGCGUGCAAUGCUUAUGCUGCAUGUGAGAAUGGAAGAUGUGCCAAGAAAUGUAGUCGUAAUGAAUAUAAAGACAAUUCAUACUGUGGGGGUGGAAAUAUAUGCUGUGUUGAAAGAGGCUCGUGAAGAACAUCCGUGAAGGAAGACGUGGAUCAAGCAACAUGCAUUAUUGUUUUUUUUCCUUCUUUCAUGAUUUGCGUUUACGCCAGUUUGAAUAAAAUCAAAUAUCACAA